Molecule: ribosomal RNA, 253 nt
Filed under: uncultured bacterium
Lineage: Bacteria
Description: partial 16S ribosomal RNA
Rfam family: Bacterial small subunit ribosomal RNA
Source: RNAcentral
UACGUAGGGGGCAAGCGUUGUCCGGAUUUAUUGGGCGUAAAGAGCGUGUAGGCGGCCUGAAAGGUCAGCUGUGAAAACUCGAGGCUCAACCUCGAGACGUCGGUUGAAACCAUCUGGCUAGAGUCCGGAAGAGGAGUGUGGAAUUCCCGGUGUAGCGGUGAAAUGCGCAGAUAUCCGGAAGAACACCGGUGGCGAAGGCGGUUAGCUGGGCAGCUGCUGACACUGAGGCGCGACAGCGUGGGGAGCAAACAGG